AUUGAACGCUGGCGGCAGGCUUAACACAUGCAAGUCGAACGAUGACUCUCUAGCUUGCUAGAGAAGAUUAGUGGCGGACGGGUGAGUAACAUUUAGGAAUCUGCCUAGUAGUGGGGGAUAGCUCGGGGAAACUCGAAUUAAUACCGCAUAUGACCUACGGGUGAAAGGGGGCGCAAGCUCUUGCUAUUAGAUGAGCCUAAAUCAGAUUAGCUAGUUGGUGGGGUAAAGGCCUACCAAGGCGACGAUCUGUAACUGGUCUGAGAGGAUGAUCAGUCACACCGGAACUGAGACACGGUCCGGACUCCUACGGGAGGCAGCAGUGGGGAAUAUUGGACAAUGGGGGCAACCCGGAUCCAGCCAUGCCGCGUGUGUGAAGAAGGCCUUUUGGUUGUAAAGCACUUUAAGCAGGGAGGAGAGGCUAAUGGUUAAUACCCAUUAGAUUAGACGUUACCUGCAGAAUAAGCACCGGCUAACUCUGUGCCAGCAGCCGCGGUAAUACAGAGGGUGCGAGCGUUAAUCGGAAUUACUGGGCGUAAAGCGAGUGUAGGUGGCUCAUUAAGUCACAUGUGAAAUCCCCGGGCUUAACCUGGGAACUGCAUGUGAUACUGGUGGUGCUAGAAUAUGUGAGAGGGAAGUAGAAUUCCAGGUGUAGCGGUGAAAUGCGUAGAGAUCUGGAGGAAUACCGAUGGCGAAGGCAGCUUCCUGGCACAAUAUUGACACUGAGAUUCGAAAGCGUGGGUAGCAAACAGGAUUAGAUACCCUGGUAGUCCACGCCGUAAACGAUGUCUACUAGCCGUUGGGGUCCUUGAGACUUUAGUGGCGCAGUUAACGCGAUAAGUAGACCGCCUGGGGAGUACGGCCGCAAGGUUAAAACUCAAAUGAAUUGACGGGGGCCCGCACAAGCGGUGGAGCAUGUGGUUUAAUUCGAUGCAACGCGAAGAACCUUACCUGGUCUUGACAUAGUGAGAAUCCUGCAGAGAUGCGGGAGUGCCUUCGGGAAUUCACAUACAGGUGCUGCAUGGCUGUCGUCAGCUCGUGUCGUGAGAUGUUGGGUUAAGUCCCGCAACGAGCGCAACCCUUUUCCUUAUUUGCCAGCGGGUUAAGCCGGGAACUUUAAGGAUACUGCCAGUGACAAACUGGAGGAAGGCGGGGACGACGUCAAGUCAUCAUGGCCCUUACGACCAGGGCUACACACGUGCUACAAUGGUAGGUACAGAGGGUUGCUACACAGCGAUGUGAUGCUAAUCUCAAAAAGCCUAUCGUAGUCCGGAUUGGAGUCUGCAACUCGACUCCAUGAAGUCGGAAUCGCUAGUAAUCGCAGAUCAGAAUGCUGCGGUGAAUACGUUCCCGGGCCU
Molecule: ribosomal RNA, 1355 nt
Filed under: uncultured bacterium
Lineage: Bacteria
Description: bacterial SSU rRNA
Rfam family: Bacterial small subunit ribosomal RNA
Source: RNAcentral